This 200-nucleotide unclassified non-coding RNA is filed under the name Mortierellales sp. Its description in RNAcentral is "partial internal transcribed spacer 2". Lineage: Eukaryota; Fungi; Mortierellomycota. The record is from RNAcentral.
UUAAGUUCAGCGGGUAGUCUUACUUGAUUUGAGAUCGAGUUGAACAGAGGACAAAGAGUCCUCUGACAAUUCCUGCAUCAGUCGGGCAAUAAGGACAAUCGACCUUUAAUAUCUUAGCUGCAGCAAUAGUAAUAGUCCGUCUGACGGGACUAAAUAAGUAAUGCUUUUAGCUCAGAAGAUGUGUCCUGCCGCACCUGCAU